RNAcentral lists this long non-coding RNA (499 nucleotides) under Polistes fuscatus (common paper wasp). RNAcentral describes it as "uncharacterized LOC122519205". Lineage: Eukaryota; Metazoa; Arthropoda; Insecta; Hymenoptera; Vespidae. The record is from RNAcentral.
UAUAAAUAGUGCAAUUCAAUAUUAUUUCUUAUCUAUUGAGCAAAGGAAUAUUAAGGAAGUUAUGUAAUAAGUUAAUUAUUAAAGGGGGAAAUAAGUGUAGAAGCCUUAAAAAAUUCAAUUUUUUUCAUAAAUCGAUUGUAGAACUAUUUAAAAAUAUACUCUGAAAUUUUCAAAACAAAAUUCCAAGCCGUUUAAAAGUUAUAAGCAUUUGAGUGAGUGUCCCUCGGUCGAACGAUUGGAGCGCGUGGUAUGUAGUACGUAGUGAUUGAACAGAAACCUUGGAUAGAAAUUUCAAGAAGUAAUUAGUGACCCUAUGACGAAGUAUAAGUUUUAAAAUCAGUUUCAAACCGACCUUCAUCGCAUGAGUUUCGUUUAUACAUAAAAUGUCUAGGUAUCCGAGGAACGAGCAUGGUAUUUUAAUUCACAGUAGUAGACCUCGUAAGAGAUCAUUUCACGGAAAUCAGUAUACAAAUAGUGAUUCAAAAAAGUAUGGUAAAAA